RNAcentral lists this ribosomal RNA (495 nucleotides) under Triticum aestivum (bread wheat). RNAcentral's name for it is "partial small subunit ribosomal RNA". Lineage: Eukaryota; Viridiplantae; Streptophyta; Magnoliopsida; Poales; Poaceae. The record is from RNAcentral.
AUGGCGGCUGCACUUAUCGCCGCCACGCCCUCGCGGCCUCGCCUUUCCCGCUGGCAUUUGGAGACGGAGGCCUCUCCUCGCGGCUCCGCCGCCUGCACUCCGCCCGAGGGAUCCAGCCUCCCUCCUCCCAGAAUCCCGCCACCUCCCCGCAAAGCUCUCGCUCCCGUCGCCAGAGCCGCAUGCGCGCCGGCGCGGGCGCGACGGAGGAGCCGGGCCAGGCGCCCGGCGACUAGGCCGCGCUUGCGGGGUGGCUGGCGCUGGGCGCGUUCCUGUGCUCCGCCGCCCUGCUCGGCUGCCGUGGCGCGGCACUCACGGCGGCCGAGGACUCCAUCAAGGCGUCUGGGUUCGGGCUGCGGGUGGCGGCAUCGCUUCGGAGGCUGGGCUGGCCCGACGACGAUGUCGUGUUCACCCUUGCCACAUUGUCGGUGCUCAAGAUGCGCAGAGCGAUUCCGGUCGGGUAUUGGAUUUGGAUGCGCCUUCACCCCAUCCGGUUGA